GAUGAGGUUGUAAAUAGUCACUGGUUAAUUCUUGUUCAUAUUCAUAGAUAUAGAUACACCAGAAUCAACAAAUUUGACAUCAACUGAAUUUAAUAGAAAAUCAGCCUGUCUUGCUAUCAACUGUGGUACUGUCGAAACGUUUUCCAUAUCUUCUGGUUGUUCUGAGUCAUAUUCCGGAGUCUGUGAAGAUAAAGGAUAUCUAGGUUGUUUUGAAGAUCAGUGGUCGAGAACCUUGAAAGAUGGGCCUAUAACAUCGGAUAAGACGACUGUAACAGAGUGUAAAAACAUUUGCUCAGAAAAGAAAACAAAAUAUUAUGGUGUUGAGAAUUCAAACGAAUGUUUUUGUGGAAACAACAUUACAUCAAGAGUAGAAAAGCCUGAAGGCGAAUGCAACAUGCAAUGCCGUGGAGAUGUUCGUCAAACUUGUGGUGGAUCAUGGGGAAUCAAUAUCUACAGAAAUCCGUACUACAUAAUAGGUUCCUGUACAAGUAUUUUUAUAAAGUAUAGGCCAAUAGACCGCAAAGAGUUUU
This is a long non-coding RNA of Saccostrea cuccullata (small rock oyster), 530 nucleotides long. RefSeq lists it as uncharacterized. The transcript has 3 exons. NCBI's taxonomy places the organism in Eukaryota, Metazoa, Mollusca, Bivalvia, Ostreida, Ostreidae. The record is from RefSeq and is a predicted model, not a curated record.